This 460-nucleotide ribosomal RNA is filed under the name uncultured bacterium. Its description in RNAcentral is "partial 16S ribosomal RNA". It matches the Rfam family "Bacterial small subunit ribosomal RNA", at positions 338 to 795 of the family's 1533-position model. The record is from RNAcentral.
CCUACGGGAGGCAGCAGUGAGGAAUAUUGGUCAAUGGACGAGCGUCUGAACCAGCCAAGUCGCGUGAAGGAUGACUGCCCUAUGGGUUGUAAACCUCUUUUAUAAAGGAAUAAAACGAGGUACGUGUGCCUUUUUGCAUGUACUUUAUGAAAAAGGAUCGGCUAACUCCGUGCCAGCAGCCGCGGUAAUACGGAGGAUCCGAGCGUUAUGCGGAUUUAUUGGGUUUAAAGGGAGCGUAGAUGGGUUGUUAAGUCAGUUGUGAAAGUUUGCGGCUCAACCGUAAAAUUGCAAUUGAUACUGGCAGUCUUGAGUACAGGUGAGGUAGGCGGAAUUCGUGGUGUAGCGGUGAAAUGCUUAGAUAUCACGAAGAACCCCGAUUGCGAAGGCAGCUUACUAAACUGUGACUGACAUUGAUGCUCGAAAGUGUGGGUAUCGAACAGGAUUAGAUACCCGUGUAGUC